UAGGAACCAACAGGGAUUGCCCUAGUAACGGCGAGUGAAGCGGCAACAGCUCAAAUUUGAAAUCUGGCUUCGGCCCGAGUUGUAAUUUGCAGAGGAUGUUUCUGGCGCGGUGCCUUCCGAGUUCCCUGGAACGGGACGCCAUAGAGGGUGAGAGCCCCGUAUGGUUGGAUACCAAGCCUGUGUGAAACUCCUUCGACGAGUCGAGUAGUUUGGGAAUGCUGCUCAAAAUGGGAGGUAAAUCUCUUCUAAAGCUAAAUAUUGGCCAGAGACCGAUAGCGCACAAGUAGAGUGAUCGAAAGAUGAAAAGCACCUUGAAAAGGGGGUUAAACAGUACGUGAAAUUGUUGAAAGGGAAGCGCUCAUGACCAGACUUGUGCUGGGCAGCUCAUCCGGGGUUCUCCCCGGUGCAUUCUGCCCAGUUCAGGCCAGCAUCGAUUUUUGCUGGGGGAUAAGAACGGUAGGAACGUGGCCCUCCUUCGGGAGGGUGUUAUAGCCUACCGUACGAUACCCUAGCGGAGAUCGAGGUUCGCGCAUCUGCAAGGAUGCUGGCGUAAUGGUCAUCAGCGACCCGUCUUGAAACACGGACCAAGGAGUCGUCCAUUAGAGCGAGCGUUUGGGUGUAAAACCCGCACGCGUAAUGAAAGUGAAAUUAGGUGAGAGCUUCGGCGCAUCAUCGACCGAUCCUGAUGUUCUCGGAUGGAUUUGAGUAAGAGUUUUAACGGACGGACCCGAAAGACAGUGAACUAUGCUUGUAUAGGGUGAAGCCAGAGGAAACUCUGGUGGAGGCUCGCAGCGGUUCUGACGUGCAAAUCGAUCGUCAAAUAUGAGCAUGGGGGCGAAAGACUAAUCGAACUGUCUAGUAGCUGGUUACCGCCGAAGUUUCCCUCAGGAUAGCAGUGUUGACCUUCAGUUUUAUGAGGUAAAGCGAAUGAUUAGGGACUCGGGGGCGCUUUUUAGCCUUCAUCCAUUCUCAAACUUUAAAUAUGUAAGAAGCCCUUGUUACUUAGUUGAACGUGGGCAUUCGAAUGUAUCAACACUAGUGGGCCAUUUUUGGUAAGCAGAACUGGCGAUGCGGGAUGAACCCAACGCCGGGGUUAAGGG
RNAcentral lists this ribosomal RNA (1100 nucleotides) under Coniella vitis. RNAcentral's name for it is "eukaryotic LSU rRNA". It matches the Rfam family "Eukaryotic large subunit ribosomal RNA", at positions 56 to 1187 of the family's 3401-position model. Lineage: Eukaryota; Fungi; Ascomycota; Sordariomycetes; Diaporthales; Schizoparmaceae. The record is from RNAcentral.